This 1973-nucleotide ribosomal RNA is filed under the name human gut metagenome. Its description in RNAcentral is "bacterial LSU rRNA". It matches the Rfam family "Bacterial large subunit ribosomal RNA", at positions 912 to 2925 of the family's 2925-position model. The record is from RNAcentral.
GAUUGGAUGCGGGGGCUUCACCGCCUACCAAAUCCUGACAAACUCCGAAUGCCAGUAGUAUGAUUUACAGCAGUGAGUGACUGGGUGCUAAUGUCCAGUCGCAAAAGAGGAACAACUCAGACCAGCAACUAAGGUCCCGAAGAAUAUGCUAAGUUGAUCUAACGAUGUUUUGUUGCAGAGACAGCUAGGAUGUUAGCUUGGAAGCAGCUAUUCAUUCAAAGAGUGCGUAACAGCUCACUAGUCGAGCGACAGAGCGUGGAUAAUAAACGGGCAUCAAGCAUAUCACCGAAGUUCUGGGCGCGAGAGCGCGGUAGGGGAGCAUUCCAUUCAGCGUCGAAGCAGUUUCGUGAGGAAUUGUGGAGCGUAUGGAAAAGCAAAUGUAGGCAUGAGUAACGAUAAUGCGGGAGAGUAACCCGCACACCGCAAGACCAAGGUUUCCUGAUCAACGCUAAUCGGAUCAGGGUUAGUCGGGUCCUAAGGGUAAGCCGAACGGCGAUCUCGAUGGAUAAUCGGUUAAUAUUCCGAUACUAACAUAUACCUCGAUGGAGAGACGAAGGAACGUAAGUGCCGCCACCUGACGGAAUAGGUGGUUAAAGGGCGUAGGUAUAGGGGCAGAUUAAGAGUUAGUCCUUGCUGAAACCUGACAGUACAGAGAGCCUACGGGCAAUUUGAUAGAGCACCCAAGUCGACUUCCGAGAAAAUCUUCUAAGUUAUAGUAUAUGUUACCCGUACCGUAAACCGACACAGGUGGUCGAGGAGAGUAUCCUAAGGUGCUCGAGUGAAUCACGGUUAAGGAACUAGGCAAAUUAACCCCGUAACUUCGGGAAAAGGGGUCCCUAUGAAAGUAGGGCGCAGCGAAGAGGUCCAGGCGACUGUUUAUCAAAAACACAGGGCUCUGCAAAUUCGAAAGAAGACGUAUAGGGCCUGACACCUGCCCGGUGCUGGAAGGUUAAGAGGGGAUGUCAUCGCAAGAGAAGCAUUGAAUCGAAGCCCCAGUAAACGGCGGCCGUAACUAUAACGGUCCUAAGGUAGCGAAAUUCCUUGUCGGGUAAGUUCCGACCUGCACGAAUGGUGUAACGAUCUGGACACUGUCUCAACCGUGAGCUCGGUGAAAUUGUAGUCCCGGUGAUGAUGCCGGGUACCCGCAACGGGACGAAAAGACCCCGUGAACCUUUACUAUAGCUUAACGCUGAAUUUGGGUACACAAUGUGUAGGAUAGGCCGGAGGCUUUGAAGCGGGCACGCCAGUGUUCGUGGAGCCGACGUUGAAAUACGGCCCUUUGUGUAUUUGAGUUCUAACCCUGCGAAGGGGACACCGUUUGGUGGGUAGUUUGACUGGGGUGGUCGCCUCCAAAAGCGUAACGGAGGCUUCCCAAGGUACCCUCAGCACGAAUGGUAACCGUGCGCGGAGUGCAAUAGCAUAAGGGUGCUUGACUGUGAGACAUACAAGUCGACCAGGUACGAAAGUAGGGUAUAGUGAUCCGGUGGUUCUGCGUGGACUGGCCAUCGCUCAAAGGAUAAAAGGUACUCCGGGGAUAACAGGCUGAUCGCCGCCAAGAGCUCAUAUCGACGCGGCGGUUUGGCACCUCGAUGUCGGCUCGUCACAUCCUGGGGCUGGAGAAGGUCCCAAGGGUUCGGCUGUUCGCCGAUUAAAGUGGCACGCGAGCUGGGUUCAGAACGUCGUGAGACAGUUCGGUCUCUAUCUGUUGCGGGCGUAGGAAGAUUGAGGGGUCCUGACUUUAGUACGAGAGGACCGAGUUGGACGAACCUCCGGUGUAUCGGUUAUGCUGCCAAGUGUACUGCCGAGUAGCCGCGUUCGGUCUGGAUAAGCGCUGAAAGCAUCUAAGCGCGAAGCCAUCCCCAAGAUAAGUCUUCCCUUGAGGGGCGUAGGAGACUACUACGUUGAUAGGCUGCAGGUGUAAAGACAGCAAUGUCAAAGCCGAGCAGUACUAAUUACCCGAUAGGCUUUCUUUU